Molecule: ribosomal RNA, 764 nt
Filed under: Leptographium alacre
Lineage: Eukaryota; Fungi; Ascomycota; Sordariomycetes; Ophiostomatales; Ophiostomataceae
Description: LSU rRNA
Rfam family: Eukaryotic large subunit ribosomal RNA
Source: RNAcentral
AAUCUGGAGAGGAUGCUUCUGGCGCGGCGCCUUCCGAGUUCCCUGGAACGGGACGCCGGAGAGGGUGAGAGCCCCGUACGGUCGGACGCCUAGCCUUUGUGAAGCUCCUUCGACGAGUCGAGUAGUUUGGGAAUGCUGCUCAAAAUGGGAGGUAAAUUUCUUCUAAAGCUAAAUAUUGGCCAGAGACCGAUAGCGCACAAGUAGAGUGAUCGAAAGAUGAAAAGCACUUUGAAAAGAGGGUUAAACAGUACGUGAAAUUGUUGAAAGGGAAGCGCCCGUGGCCAGACUUGUGCCCCGCGGACCACCCGGCGCCCUCAGCGCCGGUGCACUCCGCGGGGCGCAGGCCAGCAUCGGUUUUUCCAGGGGGACAAAGGCGGCGGGAACGUGGCUCCCUCGGGAGUGUUAUAGCCCGCCGCGCCAUGCCCCUGGGGGGACCGAGGACCGCGCUUCGGCAAGGAUGCUGGCGUAAUGGCCACCGGCGACCCGUCUUGAAACACGGACCAAGGAGUCAAGCAUUGGGGCGAGUGUCUGGGUGCCAAACCCGCACGCGAAAUGAAAGUGAACGCAGGUGAGAGCUUCGGCGCAUCAUCGACCGAUCCUGAUGUUCUCGGAUGGAUUUGAGUAAGAGCCUUACCGCUUGGACCCGAAAGAUGGUGAACUAUGCCUGUAUAGGGUGAAGCCAGAGGAAACUCUGGUGGAGGCUCGCAGCGGUUCUGACGUGCAAAUCGAUCGUCAAAUAUGGCAUGGGGCGAAAGACUAAUCGA